CCCUGGGAUCAAUCCCUCGUACAAAGUUGGGUGGGAGUAGGAGCGAGGCCUCCUACUCGUUCGGCGCCGCCGCCGCUCCAUCCCUUCGUAGUUGGGAUUGUACGAGAGAGUGCCAGAUCCGGCCCGGGAGCCGCCGUAGAGCCUCCACCUAGCAGAGGAGCAGCAGCAUCAACAGCCACACAGCUCGCCUCGCCGCACCGCAAAACAUCGAGGGCAGGGGCACCUAGCAGAGGAGCGCGCGGCAAGCUCGUCACCAUCAAAGCCCCGGCCCCUUUCUCGCCGGGCCAUGGCGGCGGCGGUUGACGGCACCCGGAAGCACGGGGCGGCGGCCUUCCUGGACGACCCCUUUGAGGUGCUGCAGGCGAAGCGGGGCCGGUGCUCGCCGUCCGCCGCCACGGUGCGGUCACCGACCUCGGCAUCAACAUGGAGUUCGACCCCGUCGAGGCGCUCCAGUCCGUAUUCCCCGGCGCCGAUCCGCAGAUGUACCCGGAGGUGAAGGGGAAAUUUCCGGCAGCCAAAAAAAUAUUUAAUAAGUUAUUACUAAUUUGGUCUGGAAUGAAGAGAACAAUGGGGAAGGAGUAAUUGGUAUAUUGGGGUUUCAGUGUGUAUUGCUAAAGCUAUUCUGUUGGGGGAACUGACCGGAAUUAGUGAAAAGUUUUGUCAGGGAUAAUAGGACUGACCCAACUGUUACCGGUGCCAUGCUUUUGGGGUCGACCAAAACAUUUAAAAACGUUAAAUGUGGUUAUGUGAUAAUAACAUAUAAUGUAUUAUUUGUGUUCAUUCCUUUAAUGUGGAUUAUAACAUGAUCUACCUUUGCAUCAACAUCGAGGACUACUUUUGGUUCAUAUUCAUGCAGCCACUUCUCGAUUUUGAGAUUUUUCACAUGUACUCAACUUGUCUUAGUCAGCCCAACUCAGCUGUAUGCAUGACAUUUAUAAAGUGACUCCGUAAAAUUCAUAAAAGACACUAUUCGUUUAUUCUGUUCUUCUGUUUCUUCCAGAUUUUUCUCUCCUCGCUUAUAAUUCGAUACUGUUGAUUCGAUUAGAUGACUCGGUCGAUGAUGUUGGGCAUGUCCAUGGUAUCCAUUGAAAACCUUAAAAAAAGUCUUGCACGGGAAUAAAAUUAGAUAGCACACCACUUAUGAGUCGAAACAUAUGCCAGCCAAGAUGGUACCAUAAAACUAGUAGAUUAGGUCCAUUCCAGCCGCUAAUUCUUUGUGCCAAUGCUAAGUAUGUGAAGUUGCACUGACUUUUAGUUACAUCUGAUGAUCUUUCCACAAAAAAUGUAGUAUAGAGUGUAAUAUUUACAGUGUGGGGAUGUUGGUGGCCAAGAAAGUUUAUGCCCUUGUGGAGACAUUACUGUGAAGUCCUAAGUUAUCCUGUAAAAAGGAUUCUUAUGAUAAGCAUGUAAAGCAACUUCUGAACUUUUUUGUAGAUAUUUAAGUGCCAAUACCAUCUUUUGGUAUAACACAGAAAAAUCAAGUUUUGAGGCCAGAGAUUUACCUUGCUUUUGCAUGUGCAUUACUUUAGCUAAUCAACCUGCUGUCGAGCUUUUAGUUGAAGUUCACUAAAUUUCUUAUACCGACA
Triticum dicoccoides is the source of this 1586-nucleotide long non-coding RNA. RefSeq lists it as uncharacterized. The record is from RefSeq and is a predicted model, not a curated record. The transcript is spliced from 4 exons. NCBI's taxonomy places the organism in Eukaryota, Viridiplantae, Streptophyta, Magnoliopsida, Poales, Poaceae.